CCUCCUAUACAUUUCUAGGAAUGUUAUUGGUUAAAAGCGUCAGCGUGAAGACCGUGUAUAUUUGAUAUUAGGUUAGUAGGGAGGCGGGGUUUAUUUCAUACACGGUUAAUAGUGGAGUUACGUCCCUUUAUAUUCCAUAUUAGGUAGUAGGGAGGCGAGGCUUAUUUCAUAUACGGUUAGUAGUGGUGUUACGUCCCUUUAUAAAAACAAAACGGAAC
Molecule: long non-coding RNA, 218 nt
Filed under: Mytilus galloprovincialis (Mediterranean mussel)
Lineage: Eukaryota; Metazoa; Mollusca; Bivalvia; Mytilida; Mytilidae
Source: RNAcentral